RNAcentral lists this ribosomal RNA (499 nucleotides) under uncultured bacterium. RNAcentral's name for it is "partial 16S ribosomal RNA". It matches the Rfam family "Bacterial small subunit ribosomal RNA", at positions 28 to 507 of the family's 1533-position model. The record is from RNAcentral.
GAUGAACGCUGGCGGCGUGCCUAAUACAUGCAAGUCGAGCGAACAGACGAGAGUGCUUGCCCUCUCUGACGUUAGCGGCGGACGGGUGAGUAACACGUGGGUAACCUACCUAUAAGACUGGGAUAACUUCGGGAAACCGGAGCUAAUACCGGAUAAUAUUUAGCUUCGCAUGAAGCAAUAGUGAAAGACGGUUCUGCUGUCACUUAUAGAUGGACCCGCGGUGUAUUAGCUAGUUGGUGAGGUAACGGCUCACCAAGGCAACGAUACAUAGCCGACCUGAGAGGGUGAUCGGCCACACUGGGACUGAGACACGGCCCAGACUCCUACGGGAGGCAGCAGUAGGGAAUCUUCCGCAAUGGACGAAAGUCUGACGGAGCAAUGCCGCGUGAGUGAAGAAGGUUUUCGGAUCGUAAAACUCUGUUGUAAGGGAAGAACAAGUACGUUAGUAACUGAACGUACCUUGACGGUACCUUACCAGAAAGCCACGGCUAACUACGUG